AUGAAAACUCAGGUCGAGAUGCCGAAACCGGCGACUUUGGAUGCAACUAUGGACUUAGCAAUCUCCUUUGAGCACCUCAAUACUAUCACCAACACCGCGGCCACUCUGGGCCGGCCCAGCCAUCCAGUCCGCCCCAUGGCUGCACCUACUCCGGCCUUGCCGGACUCCUCCAACCCCACGCCCGCACUCGUCUUUAAAAGACUCACGCCCACCGAGAUGGAUGCGCUAAGGGUCUUAGGUCUCUUCUUCAAUUGUGACGAGAAGUUCGCGCGGGGCCAUCGCUGCAAACGACUGUUCUACAUUCAAUCCGCCGACGCUGAAGAGGAGCAGUUUGAGGAUUUCCAGGAAGCACAAAUCUCACUCUUGGCUGUUACAGGAAUUCCCACCAAUGACACAAUGCUGGUCACUCUUCGCCUCGGGGACCGUGACUUGGUCGCCUUGCUUGAUUAA
Molecule: ribosomal RNA, 450 nt
Filed under: Triticum aestivum (bread wheat)
Lineage: Eukaryota; Viridiplantae; Streptophyta; Magnoliopsida; Poales; Poaceae
Description: partial small subunit ribosomal RNA
Source: RNAcentral